GGCUGCUGCACGUGCCUUUUUGAAUGAUUUCGCCAUCAAAACAAUUAUUUGUUUACACCAAAUGGUUAAUACCAAAACAAAGAGAGAAUGAGGCCGAUGCCAGAAAUUGCACGAAAUUGUUUGCAACUCUUGUCGGAACCGUCUAGAUCGGUACACUAUACAAUUGCAUACUAUAUUUUCCAUAGAAUUGAUUUUUCGAAAAAAACAAUUUUUUAACGGUGCUCCACACUGCAAAAAUUAUCUCGCUAUAUUUCAUGAAUUACAUGAAAUUUUUCAUAUUGAAAAAUUUGAGCUGGCUUGCAUUUCUUAUUUAUCUGAAUUCGGUGGCGUGUGUGCAUGUGCAUGUGGGUGUGUGUGUACAUUAAAACUGUAACAAAACCCCCAGACGGGGAGUGGUCUUUGUUGUUUUUGGUGGAACCUCUUAUCGGCAGCGACGGAAAUUGCUUUGGUCGAAAUCUCGUCAGCGGUAAAUCGGUACAGUGCAUAAACAUUGAUACAAGCGAUACGAUUGAUCCCGCAUGAUGAGUCAGCGGCGUUGAACGGCUGAACAUUGAACGAUGGACAGGCGCCCCCGCCCCCGCCCCCAAUAACGCGUCGGAAGAUAUGGGGUUCCAGGAAUCCCAAUCGCCAUCCUCGUUCCUCCCCUCCCUCCUGCCAACCACGCCCUCAGUAUUUCGUCAGAAAAGCUUGAGCUUACAACUGUCCUACGAGCACAUCCUGUGUCACCUUCAACUGUCAUACGCGGACGACGGCGACGUCGCUGCCCGUUGCUGCUGCCUGCUGCCUGCUGUUGAUGUUGGCAGCGGCCUGUGCAGAGAGUAUUCGGGAAUCCAGUUUUUGGGGGCUCGCCCCGUCACACACAAAGCCACAUAGUGUGCUGUAUAUGUAUGUACAUAUACAUUAACUUAUAUAUACAUACAUAUACAUAUGUAUAUGUAUGUAGAUGUUUGAGUGCGAGGGGUUGCUUUUGCGCUUGUCCGUUUUGUUACAUAUUACAAACAUAUUGUACAUAAUAUAUACAAAAUAAUUGAUUUUUGUUAGUAUUUUAUCGUGGGUAUUACAUACAUACAUAUAUGUAUGUAUGUACCUACUCUUUGAGUGUGUGACGUCAAUGAUGAUGACGUCGCCGAAGCAGCGUCGUCUGUCUGAUGAAACGCAACCCACUCAGCCUCUGCCUCAGUCCAGAGGUCAAUGCAGCGACAGAGCGGCGCAGCGGCUAAUGACAGAGAGUGGAAAAUUUGUGAAAAUCACAAAAUCCUAGAGAGGAUGGGUGACAGAAAGAGAGACAGAUAGAGAGAGAGCGAGAGCGAAAGCGAGAUGCUAUCCGGCCUUCGCUCAUGAGGAAAAGUCAUUAAUUAUAAUACUUAUUGUAUUUGGCAAGCCGUAAAUAAACUUCACGUGACGCUCGAAAAACGCGGAAAACACA
RNAcentral lists this small RNA (1426 nucleotides) under Drosophila pseudoobscura pseudoobscura. RNAcentral describes it as "GA32825". Lineage: Eukaryota; Metazoa; Arthropoda; Insecta; Diptera; Drosophilidae. The record is from RNAcentral.